UACGUAGGGGGCAAGCGUUGUCCGGAUUUAUUGGGCGUAAAGAGCGUGUAGGCGGUUUGGUAGGUCCGCUGUGAAAACUCGAGGCUCAACCUCGAGACGCCGGUGGAAACCAUCAGGCUAGAGUCCGGAAGAGGAGAGUGGAAUUCCUGGUGUAGCGGUGAAAUGCGCAGAUAUCAGGAAGAACACCCGUGGCUAAGGCGGCUCUCUAGUACGGUACU
RNAcentral lists this ribosomal RNA (218 nucleotides) under uncultured bacterium. Its description in RNAcentral is "partial 16S ribosomal RNA". It matches the Rfam family "Bacterial small subunit ribosomal RNA", at positions 524 to 741 of the family's 1533-position model. The record is from RNAcentral.